UUUUCUCUUCCACCACACUGGAGCUCCGUGAAUAGGGAAGGGGCUUCCAUUGUGUCCCUCUGAACUUCCAAGUCAAUGCAAUUUUUAACCACUGGCUUGUGGUACUUUGAAAAUCACCAGGGGCUGUCAGAGUUGGGUCCUCUGAAAAAUUUACAGUGCUAAAUCAGAGCAUAUGCUGGGAGGAAAAAAAAUUGCUUAAGAUUGGAGCAAGUACAGUAUCUGUCUGCCCCCUAGUGUAAGAGAUCUCGCUGCCUAAAAUCCAACUUUAAAAGAAAAGAAGCUCUUAAAGGGAAACGACUUUGGGCUCACGUAGGCAUAGGAGAAUGAAACUUCUGUACAUUUUAAUCUGAAUAAUUCUCCAGGAUUUAUAAUUAAUUGACUCUGGCUUGGUUGGACUGUUCUCGGAUCUCGCCGUCUCUACGUUUCCCGAGUGUCUGAUGAAGAGGCUCUAUAACAGAAUCAAAAAGGAUGCCUUCUAUGGAAGAAAGCUUGGGCACAUUGGGUCAACUUCUUGCUGAAGCCAGAGUUUUGCAAUUGGACAGGUGGUCAAGGAAAUGAAAACAGAGUGAUUUCUUGAGCUGCAAAUUCUAAACAGGUGAAGGUCUGGGUCAAGGCUACCUACAGAGAUGGAGAGGAAGGACUCACCUCCCACAACUGCCCUUCUUACAGAGUAGGUAUCCUGAAGCAUUCACCUGCCGCAGCAUGGGAGGAGCCAUUCUGUGGGAGCAGGGACCACAGGCUCUGAAGAAGACUCACCAAAGAGACAUCUAAGAAAGUCAAUGAUCUUGUAAGACUGGUCAGCCCUGUACAUGAAGCCAGAAGGUUCAGCUGUUCUACAACCUUUAGCUCCCAAAGCAGGUCCCAUUUCCCCUUGGGAUUGAUCAUGUGGGCGCCAUCAUUAUGUCGCCGGUAAACAGCGGAGCCACUAGCUUUCAUAGAGAGGACUGGACAUCUGACAGAAGACCAAGAAACCACGCUUCCCGUCUGACUUCAUGCAGCCAGGAAGUAAUAAGACAGUGGCCAGACAGUCAGAGGACAUCAGGCCCUGGUACACAGUGUCCAGCCAUCUCCACCAGGUACAGCUUUGACAUCUUCCUAUGGAGGAGGGCUCGCUCUAAUCCUAGGACUUCAGAUUUUAUAAAAUGUUCAGAGCAAUAUAGCCAUUUGGAAUAUGAACAUCUUUAUCUUGGUCCUGCCCGGAAUCACCAGCAGACCUGGCUUCACAGCUUGGAAGAAUAUUGAUAAGAAUUUAGUGAGCCACUGUGGGUUUUUGUUGUUCUUGCUUUGUUUUCAAGACAGGAUCUCACUGUGUUCUCUGACUGGUCUGGAACUCACUAUAUAGACUAAGCUGGCCUUGAAGUCAGGAAGAUGCACUUGCCUGGGUCUCCAGAGGCUGAGAUUAAAUGUGUGCACCACCAUGCCUGGCCUGGUGUUAUGCUUACCAGGGCUUCAGAGCAUCUAGCCUGGCACAGUUGGGACGGCCAUGGGACUGACUGCAGGAAUGCUGAGAGAGGCAGCUGUCACCACCAUGCAAGAGGGAGGACAUUCUCCCCCAAGGAAGCCUCAGUGCCUGAACACAGGAGUGGCUGGAGCUCAUGGAUGUCAUCCAGAGGAAGCACUGAGCUGAUGCCUUCUCCUAAUGAGUUUUGUCAGGGAGGAGAGAGGCUCUGUUCACCUGCACCUGGUUAUCACACUGCAUCCUUCAGAAUGUCUUCGGGACGAGCCGAUCUGAAGAAGGGAACAGACACAUUUACUACUGAUCUGAAUUAGGAGAAAAGACAAGAAGAAGAUCACGUCAUUCCAACUUUGCUAAUGGAAACUUCAUUUUGAGAACAUGGUGAAUCAGCCCUUGGCAGUGUGAACAGAGGGAGCCACAUCUCAGCCAGCAAGCCUGAAUAGGAUCUGCGGUAACUCUACACAGCCCAAAGCCUGACGUGCCCUGGGGCAUAAAAAAUUGAAACAAGAAAUAAAUUCAAGACCAAAGAAGAUGGUAGAAAAGAAGGAGGAAGCAGAAGAGGAAGAAGAAGAAGGAAAAGAAGAAAAAGGAAAGAAAAAGAACCAUUGUGGCUUACAGAUUUCCCUGCAAGAAAGAUUAAAGGGGAUCCUUCAUGUGGAGAUGAGAGGAUAGGAAGCAGAAACUCAGUAACUGGUAAAUGAAACCACACAGGUGGUUAGAAGACCUUGUAGCUGAAAUAUAUUUCCCAGCCACCCUUACAGGUUUGGAACAAAGUGAAAGCCAUUCCUUUUAAAACAUUAUGGGAGGAAAAACCAACAACCACCACUUUGCUGUUUUAGGAACAAGUGGAGACUCACUUCUCAAGGGCACAUGAGUUUAGGCCCUGUAGUUGGCUCCUCACUAGUACUUGAAACUGUUGCUGCACAGCCACUAAUGCCAGAUCUCUUAUGUAUUAUCUAGGAUGGACAUGUUGAUGGCAAGGUGAAGCCAAGAUUUCAAGACUUUGGUUAAAAUGCUGUGAGAACAGAGAAAGGAGGACCUCUUGGACCAUAGAGAUCCUCUUCUGCUCUCUUCCGGUUUCUUCCAGUUUCAAUCAGUGCCUGGGAGUAGGUGGGGCAUCAGCCAUGACAUUUUUUAGGAUUUUUAGAAAUUACUAUUUCCAACCUUGAAAUUCCAUGCUUGAGGAUAACUUAAAAUAUGCAAUCCUGGAAGAUUUAGCACCAAAUCCUUGCACUUUUCAUGGUACUCCUGUCUCCGAUUCCAAAUUUGUUGCUGCAAAUAGUCGUGAAGGUACUAGGAAUUCCUUCAUGUAACUCAGAAAACAGCCCAACAGCCUUCUCUUUUCAAUCACAGACUUAAGUCCAACAUUUUAGAAUUCAUGGGCACUUCCAGGUUGAACCUCAUGGAGAUUUUAUGCACACACGUACAAUGAAUGGACGGCAAAAGAAAACACUGGGUAAUAACCAGCCCAAGCAUGCCCAGUGUCUCUACAGGAGGUAAGUAGUUCUGAAUGAACCAACUGUUUGGCACUGGACAUUUCCCCCAUUCACCCUGUUUGACUGUAUUCUGUGCCAAAUCAAUUUGAGAAUAAUGAUAAGCAAAGACAAGGAUUAUUUUAAAUCUACCUAACACUGGCAGUGUCUUAUCAACCAGAAGAGAUGUAACUAUCUGUUAUCUAACUUUUGACAUCUACCUUAGCACUCAGGAAUGGUGAGGUCCCAGCUGCUGGCCUGAACUCCUCUUUGAACUGUGACUUUCUUCAUUAUUCAUGAUACCCUCAACUCCAGCUACAGAAUCUUACUCCAUAUCACUUUCUACUAGAUAUAUGCAUGAAGUUAGCAAUAAAAUACCUGGUAUCUGCAGUGUGAAA
Molecule: long non-coding RNA, 3326 nt
Organism: Nannospalax galili (Upper Galilee mountains blind mole rat)
Lineage: Eukaryota; Metazoa; Chordata; Mammalia; Rodentia; Spalacidae
Exons: 15
Source: RefSeq, a predicted model, not a curated record